Hyla sarda is the source of this 776-nucleotide long non-coding RNA. RefSeq lists it as uncharacterized. The record is from RefSeq and is a predicted model, not a curated record. NCBI's taxonomy places the organism in Eukaryota, Metazoa, Chordata, Amphibia, Anura, Hylidae. The transcript is spliced from 4 exons.
UGAGGAGUGAAAUCUGUCUGUGCAGUGGAUCUGAAAGGAGGCCUGAGGCCUAGUCCAGCAACCACACAUCAACUGCAAGUUAACCCCAUUACUGAGGUAAAAGUCAAAGCCUUGCGAGAAUAGCGCUUUAUUGUCACAAGCUGAAGCAAAGUGGAAUGGAUUUUAUUGUACAAAUUGCUAAUGCUGUCAAAAAAGACACCAAGUGAGAACAAUAGGUCCAUUUUCAGAGAAGCUGAAAAACCUCUUAAGAUCAAGAGUACAAUUUAUUGAUAUAUUCCCAAUGCUCGUUGUCCCUAAGCAAGUGGGUGGAGCCUAAUGUCUACGAUGGUGAUGAUACAUUGCACAUGCAUAGAAGAGCGGAUUGAUCUUGCUCCUCUAUGUCUAAGCAGAAGCAACAUGAAGGGCAUUAUAGAGCAGCAGUGAACAGUCUAAGCUGUUAAUCAAGCCCUAUGAAGAAUUAUUCAUCCUGACAUUUUAGAAAAGUAAUCUUUUACCACAAAUGAGCUGCUUUAUUGUCAGCGCUAUCUGGAAAACAUUUCGGAAGACCCAGAAAAGAGAAAAUUAUUAUGAGCAAACAAAGAAAGAUAAUAGAAAUUUUAUGUACAUCAUCAAAAUCACUUUGGAAGUGCUAAUGGAAAAUACAUUUGUCACAGCGUAAAGCAGGAGGAUAUAACUGAAGUCUCUGCAGGCACAAGAAUACAUUUCCUUUACCUGACAACAUCCUGAAUCAAUAGAUUAAAAGAGAGAUGUGUAAUUCGGAGGUUCUCCCUGUUAAA